UACAGAGGUGGCAAGCGUUGUUCGGAAUUACUGGGCGUAAAGGGCGCGUAGGCGGUUCGAUAAGUCCCGUGUGAAAUCCCUCGGCUCAACUGAGGAACUGCACGGGAAACUGACGGGCUUGAGUUCGGGAGAGGGAAGCGGAAUUCCGGGUGUAGCGGUGAAAUGCGUAGAUAUCGGGAGGAACAUCGAUGGCGAAGGCAAUCACCUGGGCCUGAACUGACACUGAGACACGAAAGCGUGGGUAGCAAACAGG
This 253-nucleotide ribosomal RNA is filed under the name uncultured bacterium. RNAcentral's name for it is "partial 16S ribosomal RNA". It matches the Rfam family "Bacterial small subunit ribosomal RNA", at positions 524 to 776 of the family's 1533-position model. The record is from RNAcentral.